GCGGGGGCAACCCUGGCGGCGAGCGGCGAACGGGUGAGUAAUAUAUCGGAACGUAUCCUGUAGUGGGGGAUAACGCAGCGAAAGCUGUGCUAAUACCGCAUACGAUCUACGGAUGAAAGUGGGGGACCGCAAGGCCUCACGUUAUAGGAGCGGCCGAUAUUCGAUUAGCUUGUUGGUGAGGUAAAGGCUCACCAAGGCUGCGAUCGAUAGCUGGUCUGAGAGGAUGAUCAGCCACACUGGGACUGAGACACGGCCCAGACUCCUACGGGAGGCAGCAGUGGGGAAUUUUGGACAAUGGGGGCAACCCUGAUCCAGCCAUUCCGCGUGAGUGAAGAAGGCCUUCGGGUUGUAAAGCUCUUUUGGCAGGGAAGAAACGGUUGCGGUGAAUAGCCGCGACUACUGACGGUACCUGCAGAAUAAGCACCGGCUAACUACGUGCCAGCAGCCGCGGUAAUACGUAGGGUGCGAGCGUUAAUCGGAAUUACUGGGCGUAAAGCGUGCGCAGGCGGUUUUGUAAGCCAGAUGUGAAAUCCCCGGGCUUAACCUGGGAAUGGCAUUUGGGACUGCAAGGCUAGAAUCUGGCAGAGGGGGGUAGAAUUC
Molecule: ribosomal RNA, 600 nt
Filed under: uncultured bacterium
Lineage: Bacteria
Description: bacterial SSU rRNA
Rfam family: Bacterial small subunit ribosomal RNA
Source: RNAcentral